GACGAACGCUGGCGGCGUGCUUAACACAUGCAAGUCGAGCGGAAAGGCCCUUCGGGGUACUCGAGCGGCGAACGGGUGAGUAACACGUGGGCAACCUGCCCCUCGCUCUGGGAUAACUCCGGGAAACCGGGGCUAAUACCGGAUAUGACCCUCUUAGGCAUCUUCGAGGGUGGAAAGUUUUUCGGCGAGGGAUGGGCCCGCGGCCUAUCAGCUUGUUGGUGGGGUGAUGGCCUACCAAGGCAGUGACGGGUAGCCGGCCUGAGAGGGCGACCGGCCACACUGGGACUGAGACACGGCCCAGACUCCUACGGGAGGCAGCAGUGGGGAAUAUUGCACAAUGGGCGCAAGCCUGAUGCAGCGACGCCGCGUGAGGGAUGACGGCCUUCGGGUUGUAAACCUCUUUCAGCACAGACGAAGCGCAAGUGACGGUACGUGCAGAAGAAGCACCGGCCAACUACGUGCCAGCCGCCGCCGUAAAAC
RNAcentral lists this ribosomal RNA (480 nucleotides) under uncultured bacterium. RNAcentral's name for it is "bacterial SSU rRNA". It matches the Rfam family "Bacterial small subunit ribosomal RNA", at positions 28 to 526 of the family's 1533-position model. The record is from RNAcentral.